Molecule: ribosomal RNA, 492 nt
Filed under: uncultured bacterium
Lineage: Bacteria
Description: partial 16S ribosomal RNA
Rfam family: Bacterial small subunit ribosomal RNA
Source: RNAcentral
AGUGAACGCUGGCGGUAGGCCUAACACAUGCAAGUCGAACGGCAGCACAGUAAGAACUUGCUCUUACGGGUGGCGAGUGGCGGACGGGUGAGGAAUACAUCGGAAUCUACUUUUUCGUGGGGGAUAACGUAGGGAAACUUACGCUAAUACCUCAUACGACCUACGGGUUAAAGCAGGGGAUCUUCGGACCUUGCGCGAUUGAAUGAGCCGAUGUCGGAUUAGCUAGUUGGCGGGGUAAAGGCCCACCAAGGCGACGAUCCGUAGCUGGUCUGAGAGGAUGAACAGGCACACUGGAACUGAGACACGGUCCAGACUCCUACGGGAGGAAGCAGUGGGGAAUAUUGGACGAUGGACGAAAGCCUGAUACAGCCAUACCGCGUGGGUGAAGAAGGACUUCGGGUUGUAAAGCCCUUUUGUUGGGAAAGAAAAGCAGCAGGUUAAUACCCCGCUGUUCUGACGGUACCCAAAGAAUAAGCACCGGCUAACUUCGUG